AGUGAACGCUGGCGGUAGGCCUAACACAUGCAAGUCGAACGGCAGCACAGUAAGAGCUUGCUCUUACGGGUGGCGAGUGGCGGACGGGUGAGGCAUACAUCGGAAUCUACUUUUUCGUGGGGGAUAACGUAGGGAAACUUACGCUAAUACCGCAUACGACCUACGGGUUAAAUCAGUAGAUCUUCGGACCUUGCGCGAUUGAAUGAGCCGGUGUCGGAUUAGCUAGUUGGUGAGGUAACGGCCCACCAAGGCGACGAUCCGUAGCUGGUCUGAGAGGAUGAUCGGCCACACUGGAACUGAGACACGGUCCAGACUCCUACGGGAGGCAGCAGUAGGGAAUCUUCCGCAAUGGGCGAAAGCCUGACGGAGCAACGCCGCGUGAGUGAUGAAGGUCUUCGGAUCGUAAAACUCUGUUAUUAGGGAAGAACAAAUGUGUAAGUAACUAUGCACGUCUUGACGGUACCUAAACAGAAAGCCACGGCUAACUACGUG
RNAcentral lists this ribosomal RNA (492 nucleotides) under uncultured bacterium. Its description in RNAcentral is "partial 16S ribosomal RNA". It matches the Rfam family "Bacterial small subunit ribosomal RNA", at positions 29 to 507 of the family's 1533-position model. The record is from RNAcentral.